Molecule: transfer RNA, 57 nt
Filed under: Loxodonta africana (African savanna elephant)
Lineage: Eukaryota; Metazoa; Chordata; Mammalia; Proboscidea; Elephantidae
Source: Rfam by way of RNAcentral
UGGCAUAGUGGUUAAGAGUUUGGCUGCUAACCAUAAAGUUGGCAGUUCAAAUCUGCC